CCAAUUUCUCAGCCUUUUAGCCAAGAUCAAAUGUAGUAUCUGUUCUUAUCAGUUACUCCUUGGAAUAUUGUGUUCCUUUUGAGAUUCGCUUGUGUUAGCACGACCGCAACCGAAUCUCCCCGUAA
Molecule: small nuclear RNA, 125 nt
Filed under: Callorhinchus milii (elephant shark)
Lineage: Eukaryota; Metazoa; Chordata; Chondrichthyes; Chimaeriformes; Callorhinchidae
Description: U2 spliceosomal RNA (ENSCMIG00000008144.1)
Source: RNAcentral